Molecule: ribosomal RNA, 347 nt
Filed under: uncultured Hydrogenophaga sp.
Lineage: Bacteria; Pseudomonadati; Pseudomonadota; Betaproteobacteria; Burkholderiales; Comamonadaceae
Description: bacterial SSU rRNA
Rfam family: Bacterial small subunit ribosomal RNA
Source: RNAcentral
UGGUGCAUGGUUGUCGUCAGCUCGUGUCGUGAGAUGUUGGUUAAGUCCCGCAACGAGCGCAACCCUCGAACCCUUAGUUGCCAGCAUUCAGGUUGGCACUCUAAGGUGACUGCCCGGCUAAAAGUACCGGGAGGAAGGUGGGGAUGACGUCAAGUCCUCAUGGCCCUUAUAGGUGGGGCUACACACGUCAUACAAUGGCCGGUACAAAGGGUCGCAAACCCGCGAGGGGGAGCCAAUCCAUCAAAGCCGGUCGUAGUCCGGAUCGCAGUCUGCAACUCGACUGCGUGAAGUCGGAAUCGCUAGUAAUCGUGGAUCAGCAUGUCACGGUGAAUACGUUCCCGGGUCUU